This is a long non-coding RNA of Acanthochromis polyacanthus (spiny chromis), 422 nucleotides long. RefSeq lists it as uncharacterized. The transcript has 3 exons. The record is from RefSeq and is a predicted model, not a curated record. NCBI's taxonomy places the organism in Eukaryota, Metazoa, Chordata, Actinopteri, Pomacentridae.
CUAACUCCCCCUCCUGAGGAGACAGAGCCAUGACGGGCAGGAAGCUGGAGGCUCCCUGCAGCAUGUACUGACCGGCCAGGUACUCUGGAGUCGCACCUGGACAGAGGAAGGAGAAGAGAUGAAGGUCUGAGGUCUACCUGAGCCAGGUCCCUCCUCCUCGUCUUCAGAGUGUUGGUCCGGAUGGUGACGGGUCGGUGGAUCUCAUUGGCUUCCAGGAAAUCGACCAGCUGGACACCAGAGAGAGAAUAAAGUUUACCGACACGGACUGAGCCGGUCCGUCCUAACCAUGAUGAAUUACCAGUCAAAGCGGUUCCGUAGUCAUCAACCAUUUCAUCAUCAUCAUCGUCCUCCUCCUCCUCCUCCUCCUCCUCCUCCUCUUCCUCUUCCUCAUCAUCCUCCUCCUCUUCCUCCUCUUCUUCCAC